AGUCACUGACAUUAGAUACCCGUGUAGUCCAGGGUGUAAACGCUGCAGACUUGGUGUUGGAAGUCCUUUGGGGCAUUCAGUGCCGGAGAGAAGUUGUUAAGUCUGCUACUUGGGGAGUACGUCCGCAAGGAUGAAACUUAAAGGAAUUGGCGGGGGAGCACCGCAACGGGAGGAGCGUGCGGUUUAAUUGGAUUCAACACCGUAAACUCACCAGGGAAGACUGUUACAUGAAAGCCGAGAUGAAGACUCUGCUAGAUUUUCAG
RNAcentral lists this ribosomal RNA (263 nucleotides) under uncultured archaeon. RNAcentral's name for it is "partial 16S ribosomal RNA". It matches the Rfam family "Archaeal small subunit ribosomal RNA", at positions 717 to 982 of the family's 1478-position model. The record is from RNAcentral.